Salvia hispanica is the source of this 1304-nucleotide non-coding RNA. The record is from RefSeq and is a predicted model, not a curated record. Lineage: Eukaryota; Viridiplantae; Streptophyta; Magnoliopsida; Lamiales; Lamiaceae.
GGACGACGUGCCCGAUACAUUCAAUUUUUGUCCCAACUACCCUUCACCCCCUCUCCAUUUUGAAAUAAAGGGGUCAAACUUAGAAAAUCGUUUCACACCCCAUUCAUUCUUGAAGAUUUUUCAGAGAAACAAGGGCCAACGACGAUCUCGCCCAACACAACCGAUUCGUCCGUAGUUAGUGUAUUUGAUGAUAGAAGAUAUAGUGAGUCUCUUCCGUAUACAAGCGGUUAUAAUUGCGUACUUACAAUUGAGGAGAAGAAGGUGAUUUGGACGAUGUGCGAGGCAGCGUCUCAUUAGGAAAUUACUUUCUAUCAUUAAAAUGGAUACGCAAACUGCAAAGGAUUCUUGACGCUGUACAAAAAUUUUCGAUAUCACUUGAAGGAAUGGGGCGUUGGCACUCAAAGACCCCAAAAUGCGAGGGAGUUGUUUAAUUUACGGCAUAGUAAGGCUCGUAACGUUAUCGAGCGAGCUUUUGCUGUUCUUAAGAUGGGGUGGGGAAUCCUAAGGAGUGCUAGUUUCUAUCCGAUUAAGAUCCAAAUCCGGAUAGUAAUGGCAUGCUUCUUACUCCAUAAUUUCAUUCAAGGGAAAAUGAACAACGAUCCCAUAGAACAAAAAAUUGAUUCAGCAACACAGAAUGCAGACAAUGAGGAAGCUGGGGGAGAUCUAGAAUUCAUAGACCAAGUUGAGACAAGUACAUCAUGGACUCAAAUGCGGGAUGAAUUGGUUAAUUCUAUGCGGUCUAAUCAAGCUAAUGUCGACGUCCACUGAGGACAGAGACAUGAUACCCGAGUGUCACUGUGGUGGGGCAAGAUGUCAUUGUUUUGUGAUGGAAAGGAAGCAACUCAUAGUGGCAGAUUCUUCUACAAAUGUCCAACAAACGCAAAACAUUCUGGGUCUUUUCUAUGGUGUGACGAUUAUCAUAGCCGUAAUGGAGAUGGGAAGCUUCCAAAUUAUGUAUUGAAUCAAGCUUGAAGUUCAGCUAAAGUAGCAGGCAACUCUGAAUCUAAAAAAAACAAAAGGCUGUUAAACAAUGUAAAAGAAUGUGGUGUUUGUGGAAGAUUUCAGGCUGAACUCCGGAUGAACUAUUUGUUGGUUGUGUCAUGGGUAUAAUCUUGUUCUUGUUAGGUGUUGUGUUAGGGAAACUGUUCUAGUGUCUAAUUCUGUUUGCAAUCUGGAAGUUUAUGUUAAAACUUGGUGCAACUAAUUUUGGAUUCUGGUUUAUGUAAUUGAACCAUAUUAUUCUAUUUUGUUAGGAUCCAUCUCCAUUUCUGUUUAAUGAAAUGAUCUCAGCAUUUUCUAUUCAA